UCAAACUCCUGGCCUCAAGCAAUCCUCCUGCCUGGCCUCCCAAAGUGCUGGGAUUACAGGCUUGAGCUACCACACCCUGUCAUGACUCUUAAUUCUGCAUUUUUGUCAGAUAUUACAAGUGAUCCUUAGGUACUGUAAAGCCAUUAAAAUUAAAUUAUUUAAAAUUAAACUAUUUUAAUAUAUUUUAUUGCCUCAUUAGACUCAGAAACAAUUAAAAAUCUUCUUUCCCCAAAAAAUACUUUAAAAACUUGAAGGUGUUCCUCAAGGAUAGGAAAGUAAGAUCUGGGGCCCUCCUAUUUUAAAUUAAAAAUGCAAAUUAUUUGACCCAUUCUUCUAAGGGUAUAUAUCGUUCAUACUUCAAGCAUCUGUCUUUCUCUUUAAGGCCUCCCUAGUUUCUUCAUCUGUCUACUUAGGAGCAACUUAAACUAGACUAUAAUCUAUCAUAGCUCAAAAAGAAAAGAGUACUUACUAAAUGAUCCCAAAUUAACUAAACUCAUUUAAAAUUAAUAAGUCAAAUAAAAUUAAUAAUUCCAUUCUUCUUAGCUAGCCAGUAGGAAUAGCAGCUUCUUCCAAGCAUGAGAGAAUGGGUGUGCCUUUUAUGCCCAAAUCAAAAAAUACCAAAAAAAAAAAAAAACCUGUCAUGAAUUUUAAUAGCUUAUUAAUUUCUAAUUAGAUUUUAACUUCUAAUUGUGGUAAGUAGUUCAAAAUAACAACAGCAACAACAAAAAAAAAAAAAAAAAAAAAAAAAAAAAAAAAAAAACAAAAAAAACACCUGAAACUGGUGGGAAAAACUUCCACAGCUUUAUAAUACAAUAGCAUUCUUUACACAAAAGUCAAUUCUUAAAACCCUCAAAUUUCAGAUCAUAAAAAUAAAUUUCCAUUUACAGAUUUCCCCCUUCCAGUUCCAAAAGUAGUUAUU
Molecule: long non-coding RNA, 919 nt
Organism: Cercocebus atys (sooty mangabey)
Lineage: Eukaryota; Metazoa; Chordata; Mammalia; Primates; Cercopithecidae
Exons: 2
Source: RefSeq, a predicted model, not a curated record